CCAACUUAUGGUAAUGGUAUCUACCUCGAACCGCUUGAAAAGCUGAUGAUGCCUACAUGUAA
This 62-nucleotide non-coding RNA is filed under the name Butyricimonas synergistica. RNAcentral's name for it is "Fluoride sequence". It matches the Rfam family "Fluoride riboswitch aptamer (crcB RNA motif)". Lineage: Bacteria; Pseudomonadati; Bacteroidota; Bacteroidia; Bacteroidales; Odoribacteraceae. The record is from RNAcentral.